AAGCUCUCUAUCUACCGGUCAAUCUUCGUUCCUACCCUCACCUAUGGUCAUGAAGGAUGGGUCAUGACCAAAAGAACUAGGUCACGGGUACAAGUGGCCGAAAUGGGUUUCCUCAGGAGAGUGGCUGGCGUCUCCCUUAGGGAUAGGGUGAGAAGCUCAGCCAUUCGCGAGGAGCUCGGAGUAGAGCCGCUGCUCCUUUGUGUCGAAAAGAGCCAGUUGAGGUGGUUUGGGGAUCUGGUGAGGAUGCCCCCUUGGCGCCUCCCUAGGGAGGUGUUCCAGGCACGGCCAGCUUGGAAGAGGCCCCGGGGAAGACCCAGAACUAGGUGGAGAGAUUAUGUCUCUGCACUGGCCUGGGAACGCCUUGGGAUCCCCCAGUCAGAGCUGGUAGAUGUGGCCCGGGAAAGGGAAGUUUGGGGUCCCCUGUUGGAGGUGUUGCUCCCUCGACCCGACCCCCGGAUAAGCGGUUGAAAAUGGAUGGAUGGAUGGUUCCCGCGCACUUGCCUCGAAAGCGGCUGCACAUUAACACCAAAAUGAUUUGUCCAGCUCGCUGAGCGGUCUGUUUUGGUGAAAUUGUUGUUAAUAACGGUUGUAGUUGGUUGUCAACAUCACUACGGUUAUAGAGAGAUGUCGUUUGUGUUUUAACAACGUUUCGCUGACGUGCUAUUGAACUGUGAAGUCUGAAUCUGUGAAUAUCUUGCUAACUUUACCGAACUGGGCAGCAGCAUCAUAUUGUGGCAGCACAGCACUCACACAGCGAUGGUCUUCAUGGCACGCUGCUCUCCUCCACAACGUGACAAGAGUCACGCGUGGUCCUGUUGAAAAGAGAAGUGCUGCCAGUGGGCGGGAAGGCGCACACAACCCACAAAUGACACGCGUAACUUCUGCGACAUCACCGUCUACGCUCAUCGGCAUUUCGGCCAUUUUUUAUAACAGUCUGUAUUGUCGUAGUCGGACUACAAAGGAGUACCAGACGAUGACAGCUGUCUGGAGGGGCGGGGUUAGCUCAGCUGCAUGGGGGAGAGCGGGGGAGUGGUUCAGCGGACGGUGCUGGUAGUUGAGGAGAAAGCAGGUGGAAAUAAUCUGCACUGAUUGUCUCUGGUAAAAACAGUGAGCAGGAUCCAGAUCGGGGAACGUGAGCCGAGCAGAGCUGAGCACGAGAGUGGAGCACGAGAGCGGAGCUGUGCUGUGCUGUGCUGUGCAGAGCUGAGCAGAGCAGGACAGAGCGGAGCCGGGCAACAGCACGACGAGCGGCCUCAUUCCUGCUCACUGACCCCUUGAAAAAUAAAGACUUAUUGCUCUCAACGUGUGUCCGUGCGUCCUUACGGAACCCGCCGGUGGUAGCGCUAUCACGGCCACAACAGCCUCCUGCUGAGAAAGUGUUUUAAUGAAAACUCUUUACAGAAAACAGAUUUAGAAUAAGCCAGCAACACAGCGUUUUCAUUGGAUCAAUUCUCCGUCCCUAAAAUGAGUCCAUUAAAGAGAUUUGCAUCGCGUAUUUGCUGCUGCUCGAUACUUUUGAAGUCAUUGAACGUUCUGCGUUCUCGCAUCAAAGAGUCUAUAGGCUGCUUAAUACUAACAAACUAACAACAUGGAUGCAUGAUCAAACUAACGUAGAACAGAUAUGACAUCUAGUGUGAGCGUUGGGAAGCAUCUCUUGAACAUAAUAAUAUAUUUAUGUAUUUUAUCCAUAUUGAUUCUAAAAAUCUAUAAAACUAUAGAACUCUAAAAGUUUGCGCCCUGAUGGAUUUCAAUGGUCCAUUUUGAAAUAGAUGAUUCCCUGUAAGCCUGAUUAUUCUAAGGAAAGGUACCGUUGGACAAACACAGGAGGGGAAGGAAUGGGGGAGGUCCUGUUAUCAAAUCGUUGUGUCCUAGUGUUUGAGGGCUUUUCUUUAUGAAACCUGUUAGGGGUUUAAGUGCACACCUAGUGGUAGAAAUUAUAAUACAUGUAGUAAUGCUUAGUGUUAGAAUUGUAGUUUGUGUGAUGUUAGAUAUUAGUUAUUACAUUUAUAUAAUUACUGUACACAUUAACAUUCUGUCAUGAUGUAAUAUUAAAACCUGGGGACGAAUGCUAAUUGCUGUCCUUCAUGGAUUUCUCCUAAUUUUCUCCCCAAAGAGGAGUUUUUGGGGAGUUUUUUUUCCGUCACACCGUACCAAACUUGAUGGGUUUGUUUUAUUUUGUCUGUGUCUUGUCAUUUCCUUUUUUAUUUUUGUUUCAGGUAACUUACCCUGCCUCAUGUGUCACCAGUCUGAUUUUCUUCCCUGAUUCCCGAUUGUGUCCACCUGUUCCCCAUUCCCUUCCAUGUGUACUAAUAGUCUGCAUCUCCCUUUGUCCUGUGCCAGUGUGUUCGUUUCCGUCCUUGGGUUCAUGCAUCCGCUCCAGCCUCGCCAUAGUUUUUCAAGCCUCGAGAACCAUGCCAUUGUGUUCUGCUCCAUUGUUUUUCCUCCAAGAGAGUGAUUUUGAUUUUGUGAAGUUUUGUACCAUAGGUUUUGUUUAAUGGUUAAUGUUUGCAUAGUCCUUUGUUUCCUCCGUAAGGAGUGAAUUUUGUUUUAAUAGUCUUUUAUAGUGUCUCCAGUUUUAAGGAGUGUUUUUUGUUAAGUGAUGUUGCCUCCGUCGAAAGAGUGCUUACCCGGUAUUUUGAUAAAGUUAAAGGCCUUUUUAUAGACACACUUCCUAAAUGAUUCAGUGGGACAAGUGUGAUCUAGAUCAUUUGCAUAGCUUGUAUUUAUUUUCCCUGCCUUGGAGAGAUCCAGUCUUACUAAUAAAGACUACAAAUCCCAUAAAACCCUGCAACUAUGUCCAGUGUUCUGCCGGGUCGUGACAUUUUUGCCUGUCAAGUAGUGAAUAAGCAAAGGAUGUACCACAGCCCUGACAUUCUGAUUU
Long non-coding RNA from Gasterosteus aculeatus aculeatus (three-spined stickleback), 2881 nucleotides. The record is from Ensembl. Lineage: Eukaryota; Metazoa; Chordata; Actinopteri; Perciformes; Gasterosteidae.